UUUCUCAAUUUCGUUACAGCAAUGCUACUUUUCCAUGUGUUUUUUGACGUUUGAUCUUCUCUGUGACUGUGCUGAUUGACUACGCAUUUAGAGCAUAUCAGAGAGAAGGUUUUGUGCGUGUCUAUAUGUAUGUAUGGGUGUGUGUGUUUUCCUUUUUAGUGAUUUUUUUUUCGAUUAGGCCCAAAUCUAUGAUAUGUAGUGAGAGAGAGAGAGUGAGGGAGAAUUGUAUAGGUUCAUUUGAGUGUUGAAUCAGGCGCGUUUUCUGGCGAAUAUGAAUGAACACGAUCAUGACUUAUAGCGACUUGCGUUUCUGGAAUCCUCAAUUGAAUCGAUGUGAAUCUCUUUUGUACUUUCAUCAUUCAUGAGUAGUUUCGCGGUCUAUUGAUUCAAUGUUUUGAUCUUCAUCAUCGCUUAAGGAUACACUCAAUCGCUACAGAUUUUCUCUUAGCAUUCAAUAGGUUAAACAUUGGUAAGAUUUUACUGUUUGUGUCACUAUCUAAUACUACUAUCCUUUUGUUUGAGCAUUGAUCUAUGCAGCUAUCCAAACCACCUAGAGUCUGAUUCUGAUUUAGUUUCUUGGAGAUUCAUGACAUUUUCAAUUAACAAGUUACUAUUGUGGCAAUGGAAGAACAAAAUCACAAAAGUUAUUUGCAGUUUUUGCCACUGUUAAUGGAUUGGAUAGCAAGUAAUGCAUCCGGUUCGCUUUGUGACUUAGACUCCGACCAGCACUAUAUCGUGGCAGUAGGAAGUGACGAAACUAUGUUUGGUUUGUUUCAGAGACACGGCACACUGAAAUUCAGAAACAAAUGUUGUAUGCUGUUUUACCACAUUUUCCUACUUUGGGGGGAUUACCAAACCCUUCUCAUUUGGUAAAGAACCAUUCUGCAUGAUGGAUACAGAUAGAAUUGUUCCUGUGCAGUGCAGAAUUAAAAUUUCAAGAGCAAAGUCCUAUUUAAGCUUUUUGUCAUUCGUAUAUUAUCUUGUAUGUAUGUUUAAUGAUUCUGAUAGCAAAUGAUACGGGCUUUGAUACUUAAAACUGAAACAACUUAGUCAUACAGGCUGCAUAGUGGUGGAGAUUUUGUCACCUCACUUGGAACAGCUAGUGUACAGGCUGUAGCAGUUUGUCUUUAAAAUAAAGUUUUUAAGACUUUUCCUGCCAAAUUGUGCUUCCUAAAACUGAAAUGCAGUUAUCCCAGCAGGAACAGAAGUUGAAUGAAGCGUAUAGUCAUGCUUUUGAAACUUAUUACAUUCAUGUGCUUCUGCAUUCAAAGAUCCUUCCAAAGUCAAUAGGAAAAGAUCAAGAGAGAGAAAGAAAGCUUAUGCUAUCAUAUUCGCAAACUGAGGAUUUCAGAUUGGCUAGAUGCAUCACAAGAAUUGCUUCCUUCGAGAAGGGGUAAUGUAGCAAAUAUAUCCAAAACAUGAAACAAUAAGCUCUUCAUGUUCGUGCUUAAUUUCUACUCACACUACCUUUCUGUCAAUGGAAACCAGUGGGUUAUCAACAGACAUACAGUAACUUUUGCGUAUGUGGUCCUCUUUGGGGGUUCGGAUGGGGGACGUGUGCUGAGGUCCUAGUGUCUCCUUGCUGCUGUCUAAAUUACUCCUCAUAAUUUCCACUUUUUUUUACCUAGAGGGCAUUGGCAUGUGCAACUAUCAUAGUUUCUUUUUCGACUGUUGUUUUCUAACUUCAUUGAUCUUACUCAAGCUCACUCCUUUCAUAAUUUAAAGAAUGAUGUGUUCUUGUUUCAAUUUUUUUUUAAUUGUUUUGAUGUAAUUUGGAUGUGAUAAAUAUAACUGUGUUCUUUCUUUAUAUCCAAUUCAAACAUUUUUAUUUCUCAUUCUUUUCCUUCUUUAUACCCCAUAUAACUUCUCCUUACCUUCCAGUUUGAAUUGUGAGGGUUAAUUAUUGUUGACCCCUGGAUGAAAUUUGAGACUACAACUUAUCCUCUACUUAACUUACAACAUUGAAUUGAAAUCCUAAAGUUGCGUUUUCUCUCCAAGUUGAUACUUUAAAUGUCUGCUAAGGUUAUAUUUUUUUAUACAAGCUGAAGACUCUUGCUUGCAAAUGGUUGCUGCCUUGCUUCUACCAUAGUUAUUUUGGAUUUUACACAGUGGUCCUCAAUAUUACAAAAGGCUUCUCUUUUACAUAGGGCUUGGUCCUACUGUUGCCCGUUGCUCAACACUAGAGACCAGAGGGAAUAAAAGCGCUGCCCUUCUGGCACUGCAAAUAUCAUCAUCCAAGGAACAAAUACC
This is an RNA transcript of Salvia splendens (bonfire salvia), 2250 nucleotides long. RefSeq lists it as uncharacterized. The transcript is spliced from 2 exons. Lineage: Eukaryota; Viridiplantae; Streptophyta; Magnoliopsida; Lamiales; Lamiaceae. The record is from RefSeq and is a predicted model, not a curated record.